Molecule: long non-coding RNA, 1236 nt
Organism: Mytilus californianus (California mussel)
Lineage: Eukaryota; Metazoa; Mollusca; Bivalvia; Mytilida; Mytilidae
Exons: 2
Source: RefSeq, a predicted model, not a curated record
UUAAAAUUGAGAAUGGAAAUGGGGAAUGUGUCAAAGAGACAACAAACAGACCAAAGACCAGAAAACAACCAAAAGCCACCAAUGGGUCUUCAACACAGCGAGUAAAUAUGAACCCGGAGGCGGGCAUCAGCUGGUCCCUAAGCAACAAUGUGUACUAGUUCAGUGAAAAUGGACGUCAUACCGAACUCCGAAACAUAUUAAUGAACUAGAAUUAAAAAACAUACAAGGCGAACAAAGGCCAAAGGCUCCUAGACUUUGGACAGGCGUAAAAAAUUGACGUCUUAUAAGCUAGAGAGGGGAAAGAUACAAAACGGACAUUCAAACUCCUAAGCCGAAACCAGGUAAUUUCAGGUGCUCCGGAAGGGUAAACAGAUCUUACUCCACAUGUGGCAUCCGUAGAAUUGCUCGUGUAAGUAUAUUCAUGUUGAUAAGUCUAAUUCGGUAGGUCACAAUCGGGGAAAAGAGAACAGGAGUGUGGUUAAGACAAUAGAACGCGAUUCUUCGUCAUCUGUGACACAGAUAUUCCAUAACGGCCAAAAACUCGUGAUUGAGUCCGUCCUAUUUACAAAGGGACCUUCAUCACUUGGAACUCCUGUUUUUAUAACUUCCUUGUGAUCAGCAGCCCUCUAUCAAGGAAAUCAUGAUAGGAAAUAAAAGCCCUGGAAUAUCGCCCAUUAUUUUCAAGGAAUGGACAGUUAUUUGGACUUUCGCUAACUUAAAAUACACCUUAAAUAUUAGAACGAAUCUUUAGAUUAUAACAUUUUAAAGAAUUUUAUUUCAUAUUGUAAUGGUUUUCUUUUCAUUAUCCCCGUGGUGUAACCAAUAAUCCACAGGCAAAAUUUAAGAUCAAGCUGACCAUAUACUCACUUAACGAAGUAUUUAUGAACAGUUGAAUAAUUACUAUAAAAAGAUCUUGAAUAAGUUCAUCCAGAUUCAUGUUUUAAGUCAUUGGAUACGCACGUCUUUCUUGUGGUGGGAUUGAAAGGAUAUUUACGUGUGUCUUUAAGUGGUAUUUCGGGAGAGAGAGAAAACUAAUAUUUAUUCAUAUAUGUUAAUGGAUUAUGUGUAUUUUUCGUUUGAUAAAUCUUGGAUGUAGAAUCGUCCGAGAAAAAUGACAUGGUACAAAUAGAAUAAAUUUCCAGAUGCACAGAAGAGGAAUGGCACUCAAUGGAAAAUAUGCGUUUUUAUCCGCUUCAGUUGGAUACUAUCCGUGACAGAAAUUAAGCAAAGAUUUGC